AAAGAAAGGUCCCUUCAACUACUUCAGAUCAGCUGGCCUGCUGGAGAUGACAUGACUGCCAUUGCUUAUCAAGCUAGAAGGGAUUUUGCAAGGCCUUUCUUCUCUGAAGUUGUUUUUCUAGCUUGCUAGAAUAUCUGGAAUGUUAGAAAUGACAGGGUUUUCAGGAAUAUCAAACCAUCUUUUCGUAGGUGGAGAGCUUCAUUUAUUUUGGACGUUUCUCUUUUAGUUCAUAGGAUUAAACCUAAAUUCAAAGAUGAUCUAAUUAGAUGGAUCUCUUUUUUGCCUCCUUGA
This 291-nucleotide ribosomal RNA is filed under the name Triticum aestivum (bread wheat). RNAcentral describes it as "partial small subunit ribosomal RNA". Lineage: Eukaryota; Viridiplantae; Streptophyta; Magnoliopsida; Poales; Poaceae. The record is from RNAcentral.